CCUAUCUUGCACAGUCUGCAUCCACUAGGAAUCAAUUACUUUUCUUAUAUCAUCUCUUCAUUGUUUGUAUUGGCUGCCAAGAUGUCUUGUCCCUUGCCUUGGUUGCCACUCUGUAAUUCUCUUUGUCCGUUGAACAUUGAUAUAUCUUACUAUGUGCCUGUACAAUGUCACUUACUGCUUCUAACUGCAAGUAGUAUGUCUUCUAUCUUGGUUUAUUCUCUUAUCCAUGUGUUGAUCUUGCAGUUCUUCUUGAUGAAUCCUAAUAUGUAUCUUUCCAUACUUCUUUCUUGUUAUUCGUUUUUGUCCAUUUUCUUUGUAAAGAUCCAUGUUUCAC
Molecule: long non-coding RNA, 334 nt
Filed under: Androctonus crassicauda
Lineage: Eukaryota; Metazoa; Arthropoda; Arachnida; Scorpiones; Buthidae
Source: RNAcentral